AUUGAACGCUGGCGGCAUGCCUUACACAUGCAAGUCGAACGGUAACAGGUCUUCGGAUGCUGACGAGUGGCGAACGGGUGCGUAAUACAUCGGAACGUGCCCAGACGUGGGGGAUAACGAGGCGAAAGCUUUGCUAAUACCGCAUACGAUCUAAGGAUGAAAGCCGGGGACCGCAAGGCCUUGCGCGUUUGGAGCGGCCGAUGGCAGAUUAGGUAGUUGGUGGGAUAAAAGCUUACCAAGCCGACGAUCUGUAGCUGGUCUGAGAGGACGACCAGCCACACUGGGACUGAGACACGGCCCAGACUCCUACGGGAGGCAGCAGUGGGGAAUUUUGGACAAUGGGCGAAAGCCUGAUCCAGCAAUGCCGCGUGCAGGAUGAAGGCCUUCGGGUUGUAAACUGCUUUUGUACGGAACGAAAAGGCUCUGGCUAAUACCUGGGGCACAUGACGGUACCGUAAGAAUAAGCACCGGCUAACUACGUG
RNAcentral lists this ribosomal RNA (482 nucleotides) under uncultured bacterium. RNAcentral's name for it is "partial 16S ribosomal RNA". It matches the Rfam family "Bacterial small subunit ribosomal RNA", at positions 30 to 507 of the family's 1533-position model. The record is from RNAcentral.